RNAcentral lists this ribosomal RNA (661 nucleotides) under Polaribacter lacunae. RNAcentral describes it as "bacterial SSU rRNA". It matches the Rfam family "Bacterial small subunit ribosomal RNA", at positions 104 to 763 of the family's 1533-position model. Lineage: Bacteria; Pseudomonadati; Bacteroidota; Flavobacteriia; Flavobacteriales; Flavobacteriaceae. The record is from RNAcentral.
GGGUGCGUAACGCGUAUAGAACCUACCUUUUACUGGAGGAUAGCCUUUAGAAAUGAAGAUUAAUACUCCAUAGUAUUAUAGAAUGGCAUCAUUUUAUAAUUAAAGAUUUAUUGGUAAAAGAUGGCUAUGCGUUUUAUUAGCUAGUAGGUAAGGUAACGGCUUACCUAGGCUACGAUAAAUAGGGGCCCUGAGAGGGGGAUCCCCCACACUGGUACUGAGACACGGACCAGACUCCUACGGGAGGCAGCAGUGAGGAAUAUUGGGCAAUGGAGGCAACUCUGACCCAGCCAUGCCGCGUGCAGGAAGACUGCCCUAUGGGUUGUAAACUGCUUUUAUACAGGAAGAAACACCCCGACGUGUCGGGGCUUGACGGUACUGUAAGAAUAAGCACCGGCUAACUCCGUGCCAGCAGCCGCGGUAAUACGGAGGGUGCAAGCGUUAUCCGGAAUCAUUGGGUUUAAAGGGUCCGCAGGCGGUCAAUUAAGUCAGAGGUGAAAUCCUACAGCUUAACUGUGGAACUGCCUUUGAUACUGGUUGACUUGAGUUAUACGGAAGUAGAUAGAAUAAGUAGUGUAGCGGUGAAAUGCAUAGAUAUUACUUAGAAUACCGAUUGCGAAGGCAGUCUACUACGUAUAUACUGACGCUCAUGGACGAAAGCGUG